GCAGUCCAGGACCAUGAGCAACAGGUGCUGAGCAGCCCUGCACCGAAUGCUGGUUUAAAAAAAAACACUCCAAAUUUGGUGAGCACAACCGGAGCCGGUGGAAGCGUAACAGCGCUCGAGCUAAGCAAACAGCACACCUUGCGGAGCAGCUAAGGGCAAGGGGAGAGCUGUGGGAGCGCACGGGGAAGGGGAACAGAACCCAGGCCGCGGAAACCGACUCCACCUUUCUGCGGACGGGGGAGCAGAUGGAGAACCGGGGUGGGUCCGCAAAGAGAUGGAAUAAGAAAAGGCAAGAAAAAAAGAGAGAGAGCAAGUCUUGUUUAUACUACCGUUGAAGACAAGCUGUCGAAUAAACCUGUGCUCCAU
Long non-coding RNA from Anguilla anguilla (European eel), 366 nucleotides. RefSeq lists it as uncharacterized. Lineage: Eukaryota; Metazoa; Chordata; Actinopteri; Anguilliformes; Anguillidae. The record is from RefSeq and is a predicted model, not a curated record. The transcript has 2 exons.